CGCUCGCUGGCGCUGGUCGCUGCGCGCCCACGGAAGCACUGUAGCUGGUCGUCGUCUUCCUCCUCUGUCCGCUUCCUCCCCGUGUCCCCUUGGCCUCCUCUGCCCCGUGACCACAGCAGCGCUACUUCGUCUUGUUCUCGCGCCCUCCCGUGAUCGCUGCCCGCCGCCAGAGCUCGGUCGGAUCCGAGCGGCGGCAUCCGGCUCGGCCAUCCUUGCCCCGCCUAUAAAUGGCCCUCCCCGAGCCAUUCCGAGCACGCCUCUGGCCUCCCCGUCCUCUUUUAUCCCCGCCCAGCCUCUCACCCGGGCCAGAGAGCCCCUCCUCGCCUCCCUCUGUCACCACGGCCGCCGACGAGCCCCGCCUCGAUUUCGGCGAACCAGGCCUUUUCCCUCCAUUCUACCACCACCCGAGCGCUGCCCAGACCUCCAAGAGCCAUCCAAAACCUCCAGCCCCUCACCUACGCCACCGGAGCGCCGUGCCCAACUCCACCUGAAGCUCCCCUCCGCCGUGGCCCUUGUCCUCCUCAAGCUCGACCUCCCCGGGAUCUUCUUCCGCCGGGAACAAAUCCGGCUCGUCGCGCUGAACGUUUUGGUAGGUUGCCCGUCGCGAGCGGUGGCCGGACGUGCCGGCUAUUGCCGUCGGGGUGGCCUCCUCCCUCUGCCAUGGGCGCACCGAGUGGGAGGUUGAAGAAGGCCGGCUAGGCGGGCCCCUCCCUGCGCGGCCCCACCUGGCAGACUCACGGAGCCCGGCCCCGCCCUUGCCAGCAUGGCAAGUGGAGGCGUCUUCCCGUGAAGUACGUUUUCCCAUGAGUUAAACGUAACCUGAGCCAGGGGCCUGUUUGUAGAAGUUAUUUUUACAGAUUGGUCCCUGAACUUCGUUUGGCUAUAACUUUUCAACCACAGCUCCGAUCGAGCCGCCUCCGAGAGAGAACCUUUUUCGGCGAUUCGUUCCGCGAGCUUUCCGCACUUUUCCCUCGUGUAUUCUUCAUCCCCAGGCAAGCCACAACACCCACUUGCAUGAUGACCAUGCAUUAGCCAUGGUUUUCAACUUGAACAUUUAAUAAAUGUCUGCUUGUUGUGAUACGGUUAUCGUUGUUUCUGUGAUGCUUAUGGAUUUGUGUUCAAUUUCAUGCUAUGUUUUUAUCCACCUGGUUAUCAUGUACUAGAUGCUAGUAUUUCUUUCAUAUGUCAUGCUUGGGUAGUGGUACCUGUUGGUGUUGGUUGUGCUCCUCGGUGCAUGACUAUCGUCUGUUACCGAGUACCAUUGUUAUGUAUGUUCCUUUGUAUAUAGUAGUUAAAUGCUUACUUAAUACUAUUCUUGAUAUGUUCUUGCAUGGUAUUUAUUGUUGAUGCUAGUGGUCAUGCUAUGUUUCUGAGUAGUGGAUGCUUGUGAUGUGCAUGUUAGUCAGUAUGCCAUGCUCAGUCGGAUAUAUGAUUUAUUGUUAUUGAUAUGUUAGGAAGUGAUGUUGCACAUCUAUGCUUAUGUUGAUAUCAUGUUCAUGCAUUAUAGUUGCAUCAUGUUAUUUUAAUAUGACUCAGCUUAUUGCAUUCAAGUUUAACCACAUAAUAAUGAACUUGAACAACUAUUGGCUGAGUCAUGGUGCCACCAAAUCGAGCUGACCAGUGCAGCCACACUUGCCUUAUGGGGGGUCUUAACUGGGUCUAUUGCCAUGCCUCUCAUCGGUGCCUCCAAAGAGGGAAGCUUAUGCGGGUGCUACCUUGGCCGGGUAGGACGACAUAAGCCUUGUGAGCCCGAGUUUGGUUAUGUGCACAUGUCCCCGUUUGGGACCGUUUAUGGUUUUGCCAUGAUGGUGGCCAUUGGGUGUCAUUGGUUGGCACGGGGCCACCCAGGACUUACCCCAGAGGGGAGUUUGUCGGAGUGGCUGGAAGAGUGUCAUGGUCAAUGGAUCGGUUUUGUCGGAACAUCGUUGGUCCACCCGAAUGGGAGUGCGAGGCCAUGGGUUCCGUGGUGUGGGUACAGUGUACUAACCUCUAUAGAGUGUGUGUGUGUGUUAAAUCUAUC
Molecule: long non-coding RNA, 2020 nt
Organism: Triticum aestivum (bread wheat)
Lineage: Eukaryota; Viridiplantae; Streptophyta; Magnoliopsida; Poales; Poaceae
Exons: 3
Source: RefSeq, a predicted model, not a curated record